UAGCAGAUAAUUAGGUUCUGUCUCACAGGUUCAUUUUCCUGUGACUGGGACGUGAAUAUGACCUACAGCUGGCCUCAAUUUCAGUGUCACAGACAAAACUUUAACCCUUCCUAGUCUUGUCACUACUGUACCGACUGCUGCUGGCGGUCGUUGCAAACGUUUUCCCUGCAGUGUUCAACACAGCACACCCUAGUGAAUCCUCGGGGCUCGUUUCCCAGGUUAUGCUAAUCCCGAGCUAGGAGGGAGAUGGCCAAGCUUGCAUUCACAUGGUACGCUGGAUGGGGAAAAGAGUAUCGUUAGCACCAAAUGAAUAUUGAUUGUCUGGUAUGUAGAUUUGCCGGAAAGUAAUUGCUUGGAGUCAAGGAAUCUGUUGGGGAUGAUCUGUGUUUGGACACCUGAGCCUCUGCAGAACAUGACUGAUUGUGCUGUUCUUUCAAGGACCUACUCAAAGCAGGUACAUAUUUCGUGAUAGAGCAACUAAUAGCUAGAGAACUCUGCCGUGAAACUAUACGGCAACCCAGCUUUAGCAGGUAAUCCUUUUUUUCCAGUGUUAUCUUUUUUCCUGUUUGCUUAUUCCUUAACAUCUGAUUUUUUUAUUGAUACUUCUGAAAUGUGUUUUCUUGCUAAAAGACACUCUUACUGUAGGCGCAAGCACUAUAUCUGACUCUUUUCUGGCUUUUUUGAGGGGAAGAGGAGGUCCUUAAAAUUACAGUUUACUGAACUCUAUAAUUUCUUCAAGAGCCUGUUGUUGUAUUUUUUCACAGAAUUAGAAAUCAAUAUCCGUCAUAAUCCAAUUCCUUAGGUAAAGAAAAUUUUUUCAAAUUUUCGAGUGUGAAAUAAAUUUGUUUCCAUCUUUGCA
This 859-nucleotide long non-coding RNA is filed under the name Struthio camelus australis. RNAcentral describes it as "lncRNA (ENSSCUG00000000322.1)". The record is from RNAcentral. Lineage: Eukaryota; Metazoa; Chordata; Aves; Struthioniformes; Struthionidae.